ACAUGGAGGAGACAAGUUGAUGUUGAGUACUUUCUGCUUCUUAUCGAUGCUGGCAUCAGCCACUGUAUACUCCAGAAGCCUGACAACACAUCGGGAACAACUCUGAGUUCCAGGACAGCUGAAGUCUGGAGUUAGAGCUCACAGCAGAGCUGGCAAGAGCUUAAAUGCCCACCGUCAUGAUGCAGGCUGCCAGAUAGUGGGCUAAGCUCACCCAGCGCCAGAUUCUUCAUUCUAAGUCUGUUCUCUACGAGGGAGUGAAGUGUCUUCCUGUCUUUCUUUCCCUGAGAAUGCAGCACUGACGCUAUUGUGUCUCCAAGUAUAAGACUCUAUGGCAUUUCCAGGAACACAGAGUCCAUGGAAGACAUUGACUGGAAAAUAAAAUGCAGGAAUUUCACCAGCAUGUGUUUUUGGAAGAGAAACAAGGAGAAUUUGGCCUGUGAUACAACUGCAAAGAAUUCUUCAAUCAAAC
Molecule: long non-coding RNA, 469 nt
Organism: Jaculus jaculus (lesser Egyptian jerboa)
Lineage: Eukaryota; Metazoa; Chordata; Mammalia; Rodentia; Dipodidae
Exons: 3
Source: RefSeq, a predicted model, not a curated record